AUGAAGAAAUUUAAUCCAAAUUUUUCCCUUUUUUUAUUGAGAAAUGUCCCAGUUUGGGCUGAGGGGUCACUCAGUGGUCACUCAGUGGUCACUCAGCGGUCACUCAGUGGUCACUCAGUGGUCACUCAGUGGUCACUCAGUGGUCACUCAGGGUCAGUGGUCACUCAGUGGUCACUCAGUGGUCACUCACUGGUCAGUGGUCACUCAGCGGUCACUCAGCGGUCACUCACUGGUCAGCGGUCACUCAGUGGUCACUCAGGGUCACUCAGUGGUCACUCAGUGGUCACUCAGCGGUCACUCAGUGGUCACUCACUGGUCAGUGGUCACUCAGCGGUCACUCACUGGUCACUCACUGGUCAGUGGUCACUCAGUGGUCACUCAGGGUCACUCCCGGCCGCAGAACGCCGCGUGCGCCCCCAGUCCGGCCGCUCCGGCCGCAGCGAUGGCGACUUCGGCCCCCAGAGUGACCACAGCGAUGGCCAGCGGCUGCUGGGGGAGGGGCACCUGCGGACAGGGGUCAGAGGUCACGCGGGGUCACUCGGGGGUCACUCGGGGGUCACUCAGUGGUCACUCAGGGUCAGUGGUCACUCAGUGGUCACUCAUUGGUCACUCAGGGGUCAUUUUGGGCCAUUUUUGGGGCAUUUUGGGUCAGUGGUCACUCAGGGGUCACUCAAUGGUCACUCAUUGGUCAGUGGCCACUCAGGGGUCACUCUGGGGUCACUCGGGGUCAUUGGUCACUCAAGGGUCACUCAGGGGUCAUUUAGGGGCCAUUUUGGGUCAGUGGUCACUCAGGGGUCACUCAGGCGUUACUCAGGGUCAUUGGUCACUCAGUGGUCACUCAGGGGUCACUCAAUGGUCACUCAUUGGUCAGUGGUCACUCAUUGGUCACUCAAUGGCCACUCAUUGGUCAGUGGUCACUCCGGGGUCACUCAGUGGUCACUCAGUGGUCACUCAGGGUCACUCAGGGGUCACUCAUUGGUCACUCAGCGGUCACUCAGGGGUCACUCAUUGGUCACUCAGGGGUCACCGCGGGGUCAAAGGUCACUGACCUGCUCGCCCAGGUUGCUGAAGGCGUUCCCGUAGGCCCCGCCCCCCACAAGCCCCUCCCCCAGCGCCAGCGCCGCGGCCACGCCCAGCCCGGGCAGGAGGUGAUUGACAGCCACGGCGGCCAAUAGGAACGAGG
This 1183-nucleotide long non-coding RNA is filed under the name Junco hyemalis (dark-eyed junco). Its description in RNAcentral is "lncRNA (ENSJHYG00000008710.1)". The record is from RNAcentral. Lineage: Eukaryota; Metazoa; Chordata; Aves; Passeriformes; Passerellidae.